CGCGGCCUAUCAGCUUGUUGGUGAGGUAACGGCUCACCAAGGCAUCGACGGGUAGCUGGUCUGAGAGGAUGAUCAGCCACACUGGGACUGAGACACGGCCCAGACUCCUACGGGAGGCAGCAGUGGGGAAUAUUGCACAAUGGGCGAAAGCCUGAUGCAGCAACGCCGCGUGCGGGAAGAAGACCCUAGGGUUGUAAACCGCUUUCAGCAGGGAAGAAAAUGACGGUACCUGCAGAAGAAGGUGCGGCCAACUACGUGCCAGCAGCCGCGGUGACACGUAGGCACCAAGCGUUGUCCGGAUUUAUUGGGCGUAAAGAGCUCGUAGGCGGUUCAGUAAGUCGGGUGUGAAAACUCUGGGCUCAACCCAGAGACGCCACCCGAUACUGCUGUGACUUGAGUACGGUAGGGGAGCGGGGAAUUCCUGGUGUAGCGGUGAAAUGCGCAGAUAUCAGGAGGAACACCAGUGGCGAAGGCGCCGCUCUGGGCCGAAACUGACGCUGAGGAACGAAAGCGUGGGUAGCAAACAGGAUUAGAUACCCUGGUAGUCCACGCCGUAAACGUUGGGCACUAGGUGUGGGGCUCAUUCCACGAGUUCCGUGCCGCAGCAAACGCAUUAAGUGCCCCGCCUGGGGAGUACGG
This 639-nucleotide ribosomal RNA is filed under the name uncultured Actinomycetes bacterium. RNAcentral describes it as "bacterial SSU rRNA". It matches the Rfam family "Bacterial small subunit ribosomal RNA", at positions 232 to 885 of the family's 1533-position model. Lineage: Bacteria; Bacillati; Actinomycetota; Actinomycetes. The record is from RNAcentral.